This 497-nucleotide ribosomal RNA is filed under the name uncultured bacterium. RNAcentral describes it as "partial 16S ribosomal RNA". It matches the Rfam family "Bacterial small subunit ribosomal RNA", at positions 28 to 507 of the family's 1533-position model. The record is from RNAcentral.
GACGAACGCUGGCGGCGUGCCUAAUACAUGCAAGUAGAACGCUGAAGAGAGGAGCUUGCUCUUCUUGGAUGAGUUGCGAACGGGUGAGUAACGCGUAGGUAACCUGCCUUGUAGCGGGGGAUAACUAUUGGAAACGAUAGCUAAUACCGCAUAACAAUGGAUGACACAUGUCAUUUAUUUGAAAGGGGCAAUUGCUCCACUACAAGAUGGACCUGCGUUGUAUUAGCUAGUAGGUGAGGUAAUGGCUCACCUAGGCGACGAUACAUAGCCGACCUGAGAGGGUGAUCGGCCACACUGGGACUGAAACACGGCCCAGACUCCUACGGGAGGCAGCAGUAGGGAAUCUUCGGCAAUGGGGGCAACCCUGACCGAGCAACGCCGCGUGAGUGAAGAAGGUUUUCGGAUCGUAAAGCUCUGUUGUAAGUCAAGAACGGGGGUGAGAGUGGAAAGUUCACACUGUGACGGUAGCUUACCAGAAAGGGACGGCUAACUACGUG